CGGCGGACGGGUGAGUAAUGCCUAGGAAUCUGCCUGGUAGUGGGGGACAACGUUUCGAAAGGAACGCUAAUACCGCAUACGUCCUACGGGAGAAAGCAGGGACCUUCGGGCCUUGCGCUAUCAGAUGAGCCUAGGUCGGAUUAGCUAGUUGGUGAGGUAAUGGCUCACCAAGGCGACGAUCCGUAACUGGUCUGAGAGGAUGACCAGUCACACUGGAACUGAGACACGGUCCAGACUCCUACGGGAGGCAGCAGCC
Molecule: ribosomal RNA, 256 nt
Filed under: uncultured Pseudomonas sp.
Lineage: Bacteria; Pseudomonadati; Pseudomonadota; Gammaproteobacteria; Pseudomonadales; Pseudomonadaceae
Description: partial 16S ribosomal RNA
Rfam family: Bacterial small subunit ribosomal RNA
Source: RNAcentral